RNAcentral lists this ribosomal RNA (468 nucleotides) under uncultured bacterium. Its description in RNAcentral is "partial 16S ribosomal RNA". It matches the Rfam family "Bacterial small subunit ribosomal RNA", at positions 28 to 507 of the family's 1533-position model. The record is from RNAcentral.
GAUGAACGCUGGCGGCGUGCUUAACACAUGCAAGUCGAACGGAAAGGCCCAAGCUUGCUUGGGUACUCGAGUGGCGAACGGGUGAGUAACACGUGGGUGAUCUGCCCUGCACUUCGGGAUAAGCCUGGGAAACUGGGUCUAAUACCGGAUAGGACGAUGGUUUGGAUGCCAUUGUGGAAAGUUUUUUCGGUGUGGGAUGAGCUCGCGGCCUAUCAGCUUGUUGGUGGGGUAAUGGCCUACCAAGGCGUCGACGGGUAGCCGGCCUGAGAGGGUGUACGGCCACAUUGGGACUGAGAUACGGCCCAGACUCCUACGGGAGGCAGCAGUGGGGAAUAUUGUACAAUGGGCGCAAGCCUGAUGCAGCGACGCCGCGUGGGGGAUGACGGCCUUCGGGUUGUAAACUCCUUUCGCUAGGGACGAAGCGUUUUUGUGACGGUACCUGGAGAAGAAGCACCGGCUAACUACGUG